UGUGUCUGCGGUGUCGGUCUACCGAUUGCGGUACGACGGGCACGUCUGCGGGGCUUCUCGCCGGUGCGUCCCACCGCCGGUUUGUGUCGCGGUCGUCCGUUCCACGGUCGGCCGCGCACCGAGGCGGGCCGUCGCGGCUGUUUACUUUGAACAAAUUAGAGUGCUCAAAGCGGGCUAACACUCGCCUGAAUAUUGUACGCAUGGAAUAAUAGAAUAGGACCUCGGUUCUGUUUUGUUGGCUUUCUGAUACCAGAGGUAAUGAUUAAUAGGGACAACUGGGGGCAUUCGUAUUGCGACGUUAGAGGUGAAAUUCUUGGAUCGUCGCAAGACGGACUAAAGCGAAAGCAUUUGCCAAAGGUGUUUUCAUUAAUCAAGAACGAAAGUUAGAGNUUCGAAGGCGAUUAGAUACCGCUGUAGUUCUAACCAUAAAUGAUGCCAGCCAGCGAUCCGCCGAAGUUUCAUAAUUUUAACUCGGUGGGCAGCUCCCGGGAAACCAAAGCUUUC
RNAcentral lists this ribosomal RNA (504 nucleotides) under Anisocentropus bicoloratus. Its description in RNAcentral is "SSU rRNA". It matches the Rfam family "Eukaryotic small subunit ribosomal RNA", at positions 697 to 1108 of the family's 1831-position model. Lineage: Eukaryota; Metazoa; Arthropoda; Insecta; Trichoptera; Calamoceratidae. The record is from RNAcentral.